GUCUUUCUGUUUCUAGGUGGAAGCUGAAUUAGUGAGGAUGACUCCUGCUCCUGUCAUCUCUAAGCUCCUCACACAUCUUUACCUGCACAUGAGGAAAAUCACUCCUGUAGAAUGCAGUGGUUCAUCAGAACCUCUGGGGAUGUCCUGUGGAUUCUGUGGAUCCUGUGGGUUGCAGGGUGGGUCCUACCUAGACCAGGCUGAUCCUGGACCAUCCCACAGAUGCUCCAUCAGAUCUGGAUGUGGGGAGUGUGGAACCCAGAUGUUCAGAGGGAGAUGAUGCCACAUCUGGUCCAGCUGAUGGAAGGUCUUGAAGUUCUCUGACUGGCCUCGACUGAAGAUGGUCGUCUCACUGGAUUUAAGGUUCAGAUACUCAGUAACAAACUCCACCAAUGAGCCAACAGGGAAGCUUUAGGUUUAUUAAAUGUUGCUAUGAAGGUAUCACUGUUUUUCUUUGUGAAUGCAAUGAGCUCCAACUGAAACUUGAAUUAGAACUUAGAAGUAAAUCCUUCCAUCUGAAAGGAUUUAGUUGCAUUAAUAACCUCAUAACAGUCUAAUUUUUAUUCCAGUCUUGGUUGGAAAUAGAAUCUCUGUAUUGAUUCAGGUAAAAACUGAACUUCACAGCAUGUUGGAGCAAAACAACCAGAUGAAAACUGUGAUGGUGUUGGAUUGUCAGACCGUAAUGUUGCAGCUCAAAGCAGCUUUUCUAGCUCAGUUCAUUCUGACAUUCAGCUAUGAAUCAACACAGCAGAUGGUGAUCCAUGCUGUGGAAGUCUCACAUCUCCUGAUUUAAUGGAGCUGCUUUGCACUUUUUACACUGUUUAUUCACCAACACUUUAUUUAAUAAAAGUCCCAUCUAGUUUUUAUGAGGAAUGUGAUGUUUUAAUUUCUCUGUGAAUAACUGCAGUCUAAUGCAACAGCUGGAGUUGUAACAUCUGUCCUGAUAUUGAUCAUGAAAUAUUGAUCAGAAUACUUAUGGUCAGCAGUCAUCCCUGAAGUUUUACAUUAAAAUUGUGUGGAGGAAUUUAGUCUCACAAUCACAGACAAUAAAUAUUAUCUGAAAGUCGGGUUAUUGUUGUUUAUCAGCACAAUACAAAAAGAUUAAUGUUAGAAAUAUUCCAGUUAAGACCCUAGAAUAUCAUGAUUUAUGUAAAUUUACCUCAAUAAUAUGAAUGUUCAGGUUAAGAUUGUGCAGUGAUAUUUAUUAUGUAAGUUUAGCUGAUUAAAGUUUAUGACUCUGCACUAAAAUAUUAUUUAAAUUGACAUCAUUAUUAUAAUAUUUAGGGUCAGACCCUACAGUAUUGAGAUUAAGAAAUCAAAUAUUCUAUAAAAUAUAAAUACGCUGAACUCAUUUGGAUAUAUUUAAGUGAGAUUCUACAAUAUUCUUUGACACAAAUCUAUCUAAAUCAAAAUUUUAAUCAUUUUUACUCCAAACAUUUACUGGACUGAUUUAAACAUUAAAAUCACUCCUUUCUAAUCCUCUGCUGUAUGUUCAAACCUGAGGCCUGAAAUAGAAACACACAAGUAUCUGAUUGAAGGAACUUCUGCAGAGUCCUGGUUCCAGAACAUGAUGAUAGAAUUAUAGACAAACUUUAACAAAAGGUGCCUGAGAGUUUACAGGUUUUUAUGUUAGAUUUCUUCAGUAAUUUAAUGAGAGUUAUCAGCAAAAAUCAAGUGUUCAUUUGAUGAACUUCAUUUCCUAAAACAUCCAGAAUUGGAGCUCAUAUGUUUGGCAGCUGUAAAGUUUCUGCUCCUUCAAAGUUCACAAGACAAUGAAUGAAUUCCUAAAACAC
Molecule: long non-coding RNA, 1790 nt
Organism: Amphiprion ocellaris (clown anemonefish)
Lineage: Eukaryota; Metazoa; Chordata; Actinopteri; Pomacentridae
Source: Ensembl